GAGACCUUUCUUUCAUGGAAGAGCGAACGCAGAGCCUUCGCUCGUUGAGGAAUUGGGAAAUGAGAAUGGAGAAAUCGGAGAAUUUCAGCGUUCAUAAUUCAGAAAUAGAUAGGAAUUUUUGAAGAUGUAGGCCGGGAAUUCCUGUCAAGUUUGGCAUCUGAGUUAGCGACGUUUCUGUUCGGAAUUCAGUCAUUUGAGCUGUUCUCAAGCAUCUAUCAAAUUUUGAUGGCAUUUACAGGUUUUUCAUGAAGCGAAGCUUGUACUAUUUCUUGGGGUCCUUUCCAAUUUCAGCUCAAUCAAUUUUAGCAGCUCUUGUGAUUACACGUUUCUUUGAAGCUGAAACCAAGUAAUGGACAUUGAAGACCUAAUCAAGACACAUAAAAUCAAACCCAUUUGGCCAAAUAUAGGAAAGAAGAAAGAAAAGUAGAAAGAAGACCCAAUCGGGGUUAACUUCAUUUUAGUCUACAAGUUGUUGUAAUGAUAUUGCUGCCUUCUAUACCAAACCCAUUUUUGAAGAAGCUAGAGCCUAAAAAUGCCUAAAAGAAUGGGAUUUUCACUUUGGAUUGACAAGAAAAUUUGAGGCCUGUAUUUGGUUUUGGUUAAACAUAUUCAAUCACUCUCUCUCU
This is a long non-coding RNA of Cucurbita pepo subsp. pepo (vegetable marrow), 626 nucleotides long. RefSeq lists it as uncharacterized. Lineage: Eukaryota; Viridiplantae; Streptophyta; Magnoliopsida; Cucurbitales; Cucurbitaceae. The record is from RefSeq and is a predicted model, not a curated record.